CAGAUCUCAGGACCACCUGCUGGAGAAUGGUGUCUGCCCCGGUGGAUGGGACCCACCUUCAUCAGUCAACAAUCAAGACGUCCUUCACAGAUCCAGCCACAGACCAACCCAGGGACUGUCUGGACUGUUAACCUCUCCUCUCCUCUCAGAUAACUCACCUGUGUCAAGUUGACAACGAAGAAGAAUGGAGCCCCUUACACCCAAGACAGCAUUUGGUUGACAUCUUGCCCAUGUCUGGCCAGGCAUUUGGUCCUUGGGUGUGUAAUGGAAGUUGAGCAAGACUUGGGGAGCAAGCCAGCAAGCAGCGCUCCUCCAUGGCCUCUGCAUCAGCUCCUCUCUCCAGGUUCCUGUCCUGACAUUUGUCGAUGGGAUGUGAUAUAGAAGUGUAAGCAAAAUAAACC
Apodemus sylvaticus (European woodmouse) is the source of this 401-nucleotide long non-coding RNA. RefSeq lists it as uncharacterized. The record is from RefSeq and is a predicted model, not a curated record. Lineage: Eukaryota; Metazoa; Chordata; Mammalia; Rodentia; Muridae. The transcript is spliced from 3 exons.